GCGGCGCGGGGCCGGGGGGAGCCGCGGGGCCGGGAGCGGGGUAGGCUGCGCCCGUACUUAAGCGCGCUGCCCGAGCCGCUGACGUCUUUCGAAUUGGAGACGGGCUGCCCCGCUCCCGCCCCGGGCUCCAGCGGACACGGCCGGGGACGGAGCCAAGGUACGAGUGUCUUUCUAGAAUGUCCAGGCAUGCAAAAAAGCUUAGAGAUCAUGAUAUCAAUCCAUGUCUAGCGGAAACAGAUGCCACUACAAAAUGUAUGAAUGACAACAACUAUAACAAGGAUAUGUGUACUGAUUACUUUUUGAAGUACAAAAACUGCAGAAAAUUCUGGCAUGGCAUUAUGAUGCAAAGGAAGAGAAGUGGUGUGAAACCAGAGAUGCCCUCAGCAGAAGAAAGAAAGAAAAUCUUGGAAUCAAUGGGGAAGCCCUACUGACUGGAAAUCUGAAUUGACUGUUGUCACAAUACAUAUGAAGACUUGGCAGCAGCAAGUUACCAUUUCAUGAACCGGAUUUUACAGUUGCCAUAUGUUGGAUUAAAAUAAGAUCUUAAAUUUUGAAAUGUGGGAGCUUUCUAGGAUAGAAUUUCCUGGGUUUGUUCCUACUUCUUGUCAUAGGAACAUGGCCUCUUUUAUUGGAAGAUACGGGUCUCAAUGCCACUUGUGUAGAAACUUUUGGAAGUAGAAACUACCUUGCUGUGAAAUGCUAAAUAUAAAAUUAAUGGGACUUGAAGAAAGCCUGUUUGAAAAGAUGGGUUGAUUUUGGGGAGCUGUUGUCCUCUUCCUUAGGGCUGUGUCUCUUCAGACUCUUCUGCCUUUGCUGCCUUUCUGGCUUUUUGCCUCCCUUGGUGUGUCUAAGGGCACCUUCUCUCCUACUUGGCACAGGUUUGUCAUUUGCCACCUCUGCUGUAUCUUGGGACAUGUUCUUUGCUCCUAUGGCUUCAACUACUAUUCUAGUGCUUGCUGUGUUUCUGUUGCUGUGCUCUUAAAUUCUGGGCUUAUGUUAAAAUCUACAGUAUAUUUUAUGUGCAAGAAAAGCAUCAUCUUAUUCUUGAGGUGGGUAUGCCCAUUCUUCUUUGCAUAAGCUCAAGUUCCUUAACAUUAUCUCAUUUAUCCUAGGAUUUCCCUUCAAGUCUUCUUUGCAUGUAGAAAUGCUUAUAAGUAUAGUAUGUAGCAGUGCUUAUAAUGCACUUGUAAGUUGUUUGUUUUUUUUCCUGACAAUAUUUGCUCAGGAAGCUUCCACUCAUGUUAUUUUCUUUGAAAGGAUAACUGGCCUAUCUUUUGGCAUUAAUAGGUGGCCUGUGUUGCUUUGUAAAGUGUUUGUAAAGAACUAGCACUGGUCUUCAAAAAAUCAGCAAAGGAGAUACGUUACUGCUUUCAGGUGUCAGUGCCAGAAUGUGGGAUUGCAGGAUGGGCUAAGGCACAUGGAAUGCAGGAACAGCAGUCUAACAUUACACUUCUGAUCAUCAGUGGAUGUACAUGGCAAGCUCCCUGUGGAUGUUACAACAAAAAUCAGUUUAGUGUAGAGCUGAGAGCAAUUUAAGCAGUGACCUUGUUGAUUUAAUUCAGGUAAUCAGUAAUCUGUUGUAGGGAAUGUAAUUUAUUUCCAUUGUAUAUUCCUUACUGUUAAAUAACACGAGUUUAUAAAAAAUCUUGAGGGAGCAAGGCGUUUUCUUCCUCAUGUUGUAAUGUCUCUCAGGAGUGAUCUGUUACUGAGUAUGAGUUUUUAUUAUUUUUAUCCCUCACUUGAGGUUGCUGUUCUUGCUUUCACUGCUGAAGCUCGAGUGGUAAAGUGUGAUAGCUUAAACAUAGGCUCUUACGAGUUGAGAUUUUUCCAUUAAUUUUUGUAGUGUGAUUAACUACCUUUGGUUGUGAGCCAAAGAUAAUGGUCUUUUCCUCAUACCUGAGAGCUUACAUUCCACACUUCAUGAAACAGAGGUAAGCUGCAGCCUGCCACUUUUACUGGACCAAAAAACCCCAAAACCUGGGCUGCAUUAUUAAUUUCCCUAAAGCACACCCUUGUAUGUUAACCCAGAAAGUGUAACACAGUGGAUCAAUAUAAUUCAUUAAGAAACAGGGAAAGGGUCCUGUGUG
Melozone crissalis (California towhee) is the source of this 2087-nucleotide RNA transcript. It is a transcript of the gene named coiled-coil-helix-coiled-coil-helix domain containing 7, with no coding region annotated. The transcript has 5 exons. The record is from RefSeq and is a predicted model, not a curated record. NCBI's taxonomy places the organism in Eukaryota, Metazoa, Chordata, Aves, Passeriformes, Passerellidae.